UACGUAGGGGGCUAGCGUUGUCCGGAAUCACUGGGCGUAAAGGGCGCGUAGGCGGCCCGAUAAGGUUGCGGUGAAAGCCCGGGGCUCAACCCCGGGUCGGCCGUGGCAACUGUCGGGCUCGAGCACUGUAGAGGCAGGUGGAAUUCCGGGUGUAGCGGUGGAAUGCGUAGAGAUCCGGAAGAACACCGGUGGCGAAGGCGGCCUGCUGGGCAGUAGCUGACGCUGAGGCGCGAAAGCGUGGGGAGCAAACAGG
RNAcentral lists this ribosomal RNA (253 nucleotides) under uncultured bacterium. RNAcentral describes it as "partial 16S ribosomal RNA". It matches the Rfam family "Bacterial small subunit ribosomal RNA", at positions 524 to 776 of the family's 1533-position model. The record is from RNAcentral.